Molecule: ribosomal RNA, 470 nt
Filed under: Pleophylla sp. BNHM834701
Lineage: Eukaryota; Metazoa; Arthropoda; Insecta; Coleoptera; Scarabaeidae
Description: partial 16S ribosomal RNA
Rfam family: Bacterial large subunit ribosomal RNA (bases 344-470)
Source: RNAcentral
GUUAAAUGGCCGCAGUAUUUUGACUGUGCGAAGGUAGCAUAAUAAUUAGUUUUUUAAUUGAAAGCUGGAAUGAAUGAUUGGACGAGAAAAAAUCUGUCUCAAUUUUAUUUAAUUAGAAUUUUAUUUUUAAGUAAAAAAGCUUAAAUAUUUUUAAAAGACGAGAAGACCCUAUAGAGUUUUAUAUAUUUAUUUUUUAUUUAUUUUUUAGUAUUGUAGAAUUUAUAUGAUUAGAUAGUAUUUAGUUGGGGUGACUAAAAAAUUAAUUAAACUUUUUUUUUAUUAUUACAUUAAUAUAUGAUUAAUUGAUCCAUUUUUUAUGAUUAUAAGAUUAAAUUACCUUAGGGAUAACAGCGUUAUUUUUUUUUAGAGUUCUUAUCGAAAAAAAAGUUUGCGACCUCGAUGUUGGAUUAAAAUUAAUAUUUGGUGAAGAAGCUAAGUUAUUAGGUCUGUUCGACCUUUGAAAUUUUACA